Molecule: ribosomal RNA, 137 nt
Filed under: uncultured bacterium
Lineage: Bacteria
Description: partial 16S ribosomal RNA
Source: RNAcentral
GCCCGAGGUAUUAACCCCGACCGUUUCCUUUCCCUAUNAAACAGUUUUACAACCCCAAAGGCUUCUUCCUGCCACCGGCAUUGCUGGAUCAAGGUUGCCCCCCUUGUCCAAAAUUCCCCACUGCUGCCUCCCGUAGG